AUACGUAGGUGGCGAGCGUUGUCCGGAAUUACUGGGUGUAAAGGGUGCGUAGGCGGGUGCGCAAGUCAGAUGUGAAAUCCCGGGGCUUAACCCCGGAACUGCAUUUGAAACUGUGCGUCUUGAGUGGAGGAGAGGUAAGUGGAAUUCCCAGUGUAGCGGUGAAAUGCGUAGAUAUUGGGAGGAACACCAGUGGCGAAGGCGACUUACUGGACUCUAACUGACGCUGAGGCACGAAAGCGUGGGGAGCAAACAGGAUUAGAUACCCUGGUAGUCCACGCUGUAAACGAUGAUUACUAGGUGUAGGGGGUAUCGACUCCCCCUGUGCCGCAGCUAACGCAAUAAGUAAUCCACCUGGGGAGUACGGCCGCAAGGUUGA
Molecule: ribosomal RNA, 376 nt
Filed under: uncultured bacterium
Lineage: Bacteria
Description: bacterial SSU rRNA
Rfam family: Bacterial small subunit ribosomal RNA
Source: RNAcentral